RNA transcript from Carassius auratus (goldfish), 1628 nucleotides. It is a transcript of the gene named peptidylprolyl isomerase (cyclophilin)-like 6, with no coding region annotated. The record is from RefSeq and is a predicted model, not a curated record. The transcript is spliced from 8 exons. NCBI's taxonomy places the organism in Eukaryota, Metazoa, Chordata, Actinopteri, Cypriniformes, Cyprinidae.
CAACGAGAAGCACACAACAUGGCAUCCACUGUACAUUUAGAGAUCGUCGGUCUUUUAAAUAAACAUAAUUUUCAAAUAGCCAAAAGCAUUGCCGAGGGACUGAAAAAUAAAUUCUCGGAGUCAUUUGAUGAUCCAACAAUUCGCCCGUUGCUGGAAUGUGACUGGCAUGACUAUUUAUCGAAUAAAAAGAGGGAGCUGAAAGGGGAGGUCUGGCAGUACAAUGGCUGUCUAAUGUCGUUCGCCAACGGUCAGUUGCUCGGAGAUGAGAGGAAACUGUCCAGCUGGGCAGAGAAAGAGUGGAAGUUUUCUUUCCAUCGACCACAGGCGCUUUAUAAAGCACUUGCUGAGGAGUAUUACACCAGCAACCUGCGUAGCACAGGGCAUAUUUUUGUUUAUAUGGAUAUUGAAAGCGGCGGAGAGGCAUUUGGCAGACUGUUGUUUGAGCUGUUCUCAGACCUGUGUCCAAAGACGUGUAGGAAUUUUAAGGCCUUGUGCACUGGAGAGGCAGGUUUGUCCAAGAGUAACCUUGAGUUGAGCUAUAAAGGCUCAGUUUUCCACAGAGUUGUUCCAAAUGGCUGGCUGCAGGGUGGAGAUAUUUCACCUGAAAGGAAAGGCACUGGUGGGGAGUCUAUCUAUGGCCCAACAUUUGAGGAUGAGAAUUUUGUUGUAUCCCACAUCAAGCGUGGCAUUCUGGGAAUGGCUAAUCAAGGUGCUCAUAGCAACGGCUCUCAGUUCUACAUCACACUACAGCCAGCCUUAUGGAUGGACCACAAAUAUGUGGCUUUUGGGUAAUGACUCACAAUAUACACCAGAAAGCCCAAGUUAUGAGAGCUUGUCUUGAUAUUUGGCUUUGCAUUAUGAAUGCAGACACUAUCCAAAAGAAAACUUGUUGAGGGCACAGAGGUUCUGAAGAGACUAGAGGCAGUGCCCACCUACAACGAGAGACCCAAACAGGACUGCAAAAUAUCUGCAUGUGGAGUAUUUGAGCCCUGAGUAAUCCCAUACCGACUAUAGAUCAAGACAGCAAUGCAAGAAGCAUUUUAAUAACCAUUUUUAUUAUAUGUAGAAAUAUUUUUGUGCUUUUCUAUGUAAAGUGAAAAAAUAAAGCCAAAAAAACCCUCAAUUUAUACUCUUUACCAGUACUGUUUAUUUCUGUGGCGCCCAUGGCAAAUGGAUUUCAGCAUCCUGUUAUACUGCCUUGUCAGAUUUGGUUACCCUGCUAUAACUGUUUAUAAAAGAACCAAAAUGCUUUCCAGAGCAUGAAAUAAAUGAGUUUAGUCAUUAUCAGAAAGGAUUAAAGCAGUGAAAAAGAGAAGGGAAAACGAUCAUGGUAACUUAUGCUGCCUUGUUGGAUUUGGUGACCAUGGUGUAUGCAACUAAAUGCUUUCCAAAUAAAGAAGAGAGAACUUUAUAAGUCACCUGAGUGAAUCUGAAGAACAGUAAAUGUUUUCUGUGUGAAACAAAGGUGUGUAACAUUUCUGUGACCUGUAUGCUUUGAAACAGGAGAUUAGACAUCACCAAUGAAUCUGGAGAACAUUAAAUCCAUUCAAAUACAGUAGGUUAGUUAACAUGGAUCAAAACCUUUCAUCAAAGUGGUCCUAAAACUUAAAACCAAAGUGCAUUUUUGU